This 405-nucleotide ribosomal RNA is filed under the name uncultured bacterium. RNAcentral's name for it is "partial 16S ribosomal RNA". It matches the Rfam family "Bacterial small subunit ribosomal RNA", at positions 29 to 526 of the family's 1533-position model. The record is from RNAcentral.
AUUGAACGCUGGCGGCAGGCCUAACACAUGCAAGUCGGGCGAGCGGCGGACGGGUGAGUAAUGUAUGGGGAUCUGCCUGAUGGCGGGGGAUAACUACUGGAAACGGUAGCUAAUACCGCGUACCAUAGGAUGAGCCCCAGUGGGAUUAGGUAGUUGGUGAGGUAAAGGCUCACCCAGACGGCGAUCUCUAGCUGGUCUGAGAGGAUGACCAGACACACUGGGACUGAGAAACGGCCCAGACGCCUACGGGAGGCAGCAGUGGGGAAGAUUGCGCAAUGGGGGCAACCUGACGCAGCCAGGCCGCGUGAAUGAAGAAGGCCUUCGGGUUGUAAAGUUCUUUCGGUAGCGAGGCGUUAACUACAGAAGAAGCACCGGCUAACUCCGUGCCAGCAGCCGCGGUAAUAC